UGGAGUAAAGUCCUUAAUUCGUAUGAAAUUAAUUUAAGUUUAAAAGGUUUUUAAAAUUCAAAAUUUUCGAAAUCCGGCAAAGUGUAUUGGUAGCCACAGUUUUAAAAUCGAUUACAGGUUUUCGAUCUUUCUCCAAAAUUUAUCAAAACUUCUCAUUUCUCUUUCUUAAAACCUGUUACAGGACACGUUUGUUCUCGACGAUUUAUAUGGAAAAUGAAAAGGAAAAGAAAAUAAAAGGGUUAAUGGCUUUUGGAAGGAGCUGCAACAAUCCGAAGAGGCCACUGUUCUU
RNAcentral lists this long non-coding RNA (289 nucleotides) under Ananas comosus (pineapple). Its description in RNAcentral is "long non-coding RNA (ACOM_LNC041344)". The record is from RNAcentral. Lineage: Eukaryota; Viridiplantae; Streptophyta; Magnoliopsida; Poales; Bromeliaceae.